AGCAGCCGCGGUAAUUCCAGCUCCAAUAGCGUAUAUUAAAGUUGCUGCAGUUAAAAAGCUCGUAGUUGAAUUUCGGGACCAAUAUGUCGGUCGUGCUUCUGUACGUACUGGCAUUAUUGGUUUCUCUCUUCUGAAGAACCUUGAUGUCAUUAAUUUGGUGUCUUGGGGAAUCAGGACUGUUACUUUGAAAAAAUUAGAGUGUUUAAAGCAGGCUCGCGCUUGAAUACAUUAGCAUGGAAUAAUGAAAUAGGACGUUUGAUUCUAUUUUGUUGGUUUCUAGGAUCGACGUAAUGAUUAAUAGGGAUAGUUGGGGGCAUUAGUAUUCAAUUGUCAGAGGUGAAAUUCUUGGAUUUAUUGAAGACUAACUACUGCGAAAGCAUUUGCCAAGGAUGUUUUCAUUAAUCAAGAACGAAAGUUAGGGGAUCGAAGACGAUCAGAUACCGUCGUAGUCUCAACCAUAAACUAUGCCGACUAGGGAUCGGAUGAUGUUAAUUUUUAAUGACUCAUUC
Molecule: ribosomal RNA, 509 nt
Filed under: uncultured Glomus
Lineage: Eukaryota; Fungi; Glomeromycota; Glomeromycetes; Glomerales; Glomeraceae
Description: SSU rRNA
Rfam family: Eukaryotic small subunit ribosomal RNA
Source: RNAcentral